CAGUCGUACCGGUGGGUAAUCAGCCUUUCGGCGUGAUUAUGUGGAGCGUGAGGAGUUAAACGCCCUCAUGCCUGCAUAUUCGUGUUCUUUGGGUGUACUUACCCGCAUGGUAGGUUAACAUCAAUUUCGAACGUCAUAAAAUGGUUGGAGGAAUGUAGCUUCGAUCUCGUAUUGAAGUGUUAUAGCCUCCGGCAGAUGUGAUGAUCGGGAUUGAGGAUUGCAACGGAUACCCUUCGGGGCUACCCGUCUGAUCUCUGAAAGUUACUCUGGUGCCGAAAGCUCGCUUACGGUCAUCAAAUGUUGACGUUCAAUCACGGUUAGAAGCGGGAUAAA
This 333-nucleotide ribosomal RNA is filed under the name uncultured Glomus. RNAcentral describes it as "eukaryotic LSU rRNA". Lineage: Eukaryota; Fungi; Glomeromycota; Glomeromycetes; Glomerales; Glomeraceae. The record is from RNAcentral.